AGGACAUGGACUGGGGGAGUUUGCCCAAGAAAGGGAAGCCACAGGCGGUGAAUACACAGGUCUCGGAGCAUUCCUAGUCUCCGAUUGCGAUUCGUCCAUAGGUGAUGGUUUACACGGUUGUUCUAACGAUUCGAUUCAGCUUCUUUGCGAGUGAUUGCAUUGGGAACUGGGACCAAAUGCCUGGGAGGUUCUCAACGCAGCCUGGCUAGCGACACAAUCAGCCAUGCCGAAGUGAUCGCUAGGAGAACACUGCUAUCCCGUUGUUCUUCAUGUAUAUUGCAGGGGUUUCUACGGGUUUUUUUUGUAGAUGAGGGCGCUCCAAGGUUUUCAAGAGGGAUGAUAAUGGCAAACUGCGCACCUUGUUCUUCCAUACUAUCUUCGAUCAUCCGGUUCUUUCUACUUGAUAGGUGGAGACGCAUGCAUCUUAGGAGUUGAUCCUGGGGCCGGAGAAGACGAUCACAGUGUUUUUUGCUGCACGACGGGGGCAAAGCUGGUGUCUACACAAGUUCACUCGGAACAAAGCCUGCAGACAACGGGCAUGCUUAGGCGAAAGCCUGGCCGGGGAGAUGCCACUUUCUCUAUGAGUUGUAGCGACAAGAUCGAGUUCAAGGAGCUCUCUUGUCCCUGUUCCUCAACGAACCAGUAUACAUCUCGGCGAUUACUGUUGCUAGGAGCACGAAAGCAUCGUGUGCUCGGUGGCACGGAAGCUAGAAGCUCCUUACAGACUCAACCAGGUAAGACUUUGUGAAAUGCUUUUGUAAUCCUCGUAUGCAGCCAGUGAUUUGGCUGGCACCAACACCUCCGGAGGAUUACAUGCUCUAUCCAAGUGGAUUGCCUGCGGGUUUGGCUUUCACUCCGAGGCAGUAUAUGUGAUGCUAUCGUUCCCUGUUUAGAUAUUCGAUCAGCUGGGACACGUCCGGCCCCACUAGGUUGUGAUUAGAACAACGGGAAGGAAGCAAGGCACUGCGGGCAAAGGAGCGUUGUUGCCAGCUACAGAAUCAAAGCUCAACAGGAAGUCACUGGGGAGAUCAUUUAGACACCUGUUGACGCAUUUCUUCCCUGGCUUGGCUUGCAGCAACUACUUGGAGUGCAAAGUAAAGCAUCUUAGUCUUCUGACUCACAGCUUCUUAACUUUCUCUUUCUUUUUUAUUUUCUUGAAAGAGAUUCUUUUAGAUGGCUAAG
Molecule: RNA transcript, 1182 nt
Organism: Selaginella moellendorffii
Lineage: Eukaryota; Viridiplantae; Streptophyta; Lycopodiopsida; Selaginellales; Selaginellaceae
Gene name: tRNA-specific adenosine deaminase 1
Exons: 4
Source: RefSeq, a predicted model, not a curated record